This 124-nucleotide long non-coding RNA is filed under the name Callithrix jacchus (white-tufted-ear marmoset). RNAcentral's name for it is "lncRNA (ENSCJAG00000075760.1)". The record is from RNAcentral. Lineage: Eukaryota; Metazoa; Chordata; Mammalia; Primates; Cebidae.
AGAUGCUACGGAGAUGCUUCAGCCUUGGACACCACGUGGGUGGGUCUCAUCCAAUCACCUGAAAGCCUGAAAAGUACAAAAAAAGGCUGAAGCGCUUGCAAAGUAAGAGGGAAUUUCCUCCUGC